RNAcentral lists this ribosomal RNA (497 nucleotides) under uncultured bacterium. RNAcentral describes it as "partial 16S ribosomal RNA". It matches the Rfam family "Bacterial small subunit ribosomal RNA", at positions 28 to 507 of the family's 1533-position model. The record is from RNAcentral.
GAUGAACGCUGGCGGCGUGCCUAAUACAUGCAAGUCGAGCGAACGGACGAGAAGCUUGCUUCUCUGAUGUUAGCGGCGGACGGGUGAGUAACACGUGGAUAACCUACCUAUAAUACUGGGAUAACUUCGGGAAACCGUAGCUAAUACCGGAUAAUAUUUUGAACCGCAUGGUUCAAAAGUGAAAGACGGUCUUGCUGUCACUUAUAGAUGGAUCCGCGCUGCAUUAGAUAGUUGGUAAGGUAACGGCUUACCAAGGCAACGAUGCAUAUCCGACCUGAUAGGGUGAUCGGCCACACUGGAACUGAGACACGGUCCAGACUCCUACGGGAGGCAGCAGUAGGGAAUCUUCCGCAAUGGGCGAAAGCCUGACGGAGCAACGCCGCGUGAGUGAUGAAGGUCUUCGGAUCGUAAAACUCUGUUAUUAGUGAAGAACAUAUGUGUAAGUAACUGUGAACAUCUUGACGGUACCUAAUCAGAAAGCCACGGCUAACUACGUG